CUUGCAGCAGGCCGAGGAGGAAGAAGAGGGGCAGUGGGAGCAGAGGAGGUGGCUCCUGCCCCAGUGAGAGCUCUGAGGGUCCCUGCCUGAAGAGGGACAGGGACCGGGUCUUGGAGAAGGGGCUGUGGAAUGCAGCCCCCUUCACUGCUGCUGCUGCUGCUGCUGCUGCUAUGUGUCUCAGUGGUCAUACCCAGAGGGCUGCUGUGUGGGAGUUUCCCAGAACCCUGUGCCAAUGGAGGCACCUGCUUGAGCCUGUCUCUGGGACAAGGGACCUGCCAGUGUGCCCCUGGCUUCCUGGGUGAGACGUGCCAGUUUCCUGACCCCUGCCAGAACGCCCAGCUCUGCCAAAAUGGAGGCAGCUGCCAAGCCCUGCUUCCCGCUCCCCUAGGACUCCCCAGCUCUCCCUCUCCAUUGACACCCAGCUUCUUGUGCACUUGCCUCCCUGGCUUCACUGGUGAGAGAUGCCAGGCCCAGCUUGAAGACCCUUGUCCUCCCUCCUUCUGUUCCAAAAGGGGCCGCUGCCACAUCCAGGCCUCGGGCCGCCCACAGUGCUCCUGCAUGCCUGGAUGGACAGGUGAGCAGUGCCAGCUUCGGGACUUCUGUUCAGCCAACCCAUGUGUUAAUGGAGGGGUGUGUCUGGCCACGUACCCCCAGAUCCAGUGCCACUGCCCACCGGGCUUCGAGGGCCAUGCCUGUGAACGUGAUGUCAACGAGUGCUUCCAGGACCCAGGACCCUGCCCCAAAGGCACCUCCUGCCAUAACACCCUGGGCUCCUUCCAGUGCCUCUGCCCUGUGGGGCAGGAGGGUCCACGUUGUGAGCUGCGGGCAGGACCCUGCCCUCCUAGGGGCUGUUCGAAUGGGGGCACCUGCCAGCUGAUGCCAGGGAAAGACUCCACCUUUCACCUCUGCCUCUGUCCCCCAGGUUUCUUAGGCCCGGACUGUGAGGUGAAUCCAGACAACUGUGUCAGCCACCAAUGUCAGAAUGGGGGCACUUGCCAGGAUGGGCUGGACACCUACACCUGCCUCUGCCCAGAAACCUGGACAGGCUGGGACUGCUCCGAAGAUGUGGAUGAGUGUGAGACCCAGGGUCCCCCUCACUGCAGAAACGGGGGCACCUGCCAGAACUCUGCUGGUAGCUUUCACUGUGUGUGUGUGAGUGGCUGGGGGGGCACAAGCUGUGAGGAGAACCUGGAUGACUGUAUUGCUGCCACCUGUGCCCCGGGAUCCACCUGCAUUGACCGGGUGGGCUCUUUCUCCUGCCUCUGCCCACCUGGACGCACAGGACUCCUGUGCCACUUGGAAGACAUGUGUCUGAGCCAGCCGUGCCAUGGGGAUGCCCAAUGCAGCACCAACCCCCUCACAGGCUCCACACUCUGCCUGUGUCAGCCUGGCUAUUCGGGGCCCACCUGCCACCAGGACCUGGAUGAGUGUCUGAUGGCCCAGCAAGGCCCAAGUCCCUGUGAACAUGGCGGUUCCUGCCUCAACACUCCUGGCUCCUUCAACUGCCUCUGUCCACCUGGCUACACAGGCUCCCGUUGUGAGGCUGAUCACAAUGAGUGCCUCUCCCAGCCCUGCCACCCAGGAAGCACCUGUCUGGACCUACUUGCCACCUUCCACUGCCUCUGCCCGCCAGGCUUAGAAGGGCAGCUCUGUGAGGUGGAGACCAACGAGUGUGCCUCAGCUCCCUGCCUGAACCACGCGGAUUGCCAUGACCUGCUCAAUGGCUUCCAGUGCAUCUGCCUGCCUGGAUUCUCCGGCACCCGAUGUGAGGAGGAUAUCGAUGAGUGCAGAAGCUUUCCCUGUGCCAAUGGUGGGCAGUGCCAGGACCAGCCUGGAGCCUUCCACUGCAAGUGUCUCCCAGGCUUUGAAGGGCCACGCUGUCAAACAGAGGUGGAUGAGUGCCUGAGUGACCCAUGUCCCGUUGGAGCCAGCUGCCUUGAUCUUCCAGGAGCCUUCUUUUGCCUCUGCCCCUCUGGUUUCACAGGUUCACAGGGGAGGCAUUGGAAAGAACUGGCAGAAUAUUUUAUUCCAUUUGGGUUGGGGCAGAGUUCAUUGGUGGGUGUUUGAUGGUUGGGAUGUGAGAAUAGAAUGAGAAUGGUAUCCUUUAAAGUUAUUUAGUGUAAAACCUGCACAAUUGUACAACCAUGGGGACAAGGGCAGGGGUUACCGUAGGGCCCACAUGGGCCCAGUGUAAAUGGUGUGAUUGCGGCUUGGGAGCAGAAGACGGGGCUCAAAGAAAAGGCAUUCACUUGCUUAUUUAGCAAGCACUUACCAACUGCCUACUAUGCCAGAUACGGAGGCAAAUCUGAGUAAGACAGUUGCCAUCUUCAUGUGACUUUAAGUCUAAUACAGAGAGACCAACAAGUCUCCUGUUGAUCAUAGCCCACAGAGGUGCUCUGAGAGAAAAACGUGCAGGAUAUUACAAGAGCACAGAGGACCAGCCAACCCAGACUAAAAAUGGAGGAGGUGAUGGCUGAGAUGAGUCUUGAAAGAUAAGCAGAGGCUGGGCGUGGUGGCUCACGCCUAUAGUCCCAGCACUUCGGGAAGCCGAGGCUGGUGGAUCACCUGAGAUUAGGAGUUCGAGAUCAGCCUGGCCAACAUGGUGAAACCUCGUCUCUAUUAAAAAUACAAAAAUUACACUUUGGGAGGCCGAGGCGGGUGGAUGAUGAGGUCAGGAGAUCGACACUAUCCUGGCUAACAUGGUGAAACCCCGUCUCAACUAAAAAUACAAAAAAUUAACUGGGCGUGGUGGCGGGCGCCUAUAGUCCCAGCUACUCCAGAGGCUGAGGCAGGAGAAUGGCGUGAACCCGGGAGGCGGAGCUUGCAGUGAGCUGAGAUCACGCCACUGCACUCCAGCCUGGGUGGCAGAGUAAGACUCCACCUCAAAAAAAAAAAAAAAAAAAUACAAAAAUUAGCCAGGCGUGGUGGUGGGCGCCUGCAAUCCCAGCUAUUGGGGAGGCUGAGGCAAGAGAAUCGCUUGAACCUGGGAAGCAGUGGUUGCAGUGAGCCAAGAUCACUCCACUGCACUCCAGCCUGGGUGACAGAGCAAGAUUCCAUCUCAAAAAAAAAAGAA
This 3073-nucleotide small RNA is filed under the name Pan troglodytes (chimpanzee). Its description in RNAcentral is "retained intron". The record is from RNAcentral. Lineage: Eukaryota; Metazoa; Chordata; Mammalia; Primates; Hominidae.